RNAcentral lists this transfer RNA (66 nucleotides) under Aconurella montana. RNAcentral describes it as "tRNA-Glu". Lineage: Eukaryota; Metazoa; Arthropoda; Insecta; Hemiptera; Cicadellidae. The record is from RNAcentral.
AUUCAUAUAGUUUAUUACAAACAUUUUAUUUUCGUUAAAAAAAUGAUCAGCCAAAGUCUAUGAAUU